AAUAUUACAAAAAAAAAAAAAAUGUUGGUAUUAGAGUAGAUGAGAAGAUACGUGAGAGUUUCUUAUUGAGAGCAAUAUUUGUUUUUUAUUUGUAGUUUUCCAAAUAACUUCAACUUAUUCUUAGUAAAAGGUAGCCUUUUUAGUUUUGUGUUUCAAAUCAAGUCUGCUUAUAAAUUGGUAGAGAAAAGAGUAAAUGAACUAAAAAAUGGAUUGAGAAAUGAAACAGAAUGCUGGAAAUGAUUGUGUUGAUUCAGCACAAUAAUUACAGAACAAAUAUUACAAUCAAUGGAUAGUCCAGUUGCAAUGGCAGAUCAAGCAAACAGUAAAAUAAAUAAGAAAAGAAAAUAGAUAAUGGUUCGAAACCAGCCCCCAGGAUUGAUAUCCUGUAUAGAGAAAAUUCCCCUGCCCUCACAAAUUCUAUUAGCCAAAGAUACCCCAUUCCUUCUGCUCUUCUCCUUAAAUUCUGGAAUUGAUUCUUCUGGUAUAACCACCUCAGCCCACGUGUCCUCAUUUUUGUCUUUUGCAACAGGCCAUUCCAAUUGCAUAGCUUCCAGCACAAUUCCUCUUUCUUUGUUAUUUCAGCUUUGUAGCUACCAACAGAUGCACGAGUUGAACACACGACACUUAACCCUUUUUUCAGGUAGUAAAUUACAAGUUGGCUAGAUUAGCUUUACAUUUUAAAGCUCACUUACUAUUACAAAAAAAAAAAAAAAGCUGGUAUUAGAGUAGAU
RNAcentral lists this unclassified non-coding RNA (731 nucleotides) under Hevea brasiliensis (rubber tree). Lineage: Eukaryota; Viridiplantae; Streptophyta; Magnoliopsida; Malpighiales; Euphorbiaceae. The record is from RNAcentral.